This 600-nucleotide ribosomal RNA is filed under the name uncultured bacterium. RNAcentral describes it as "bacterial SSU rRNA". It matches the Rfam family "Bacterial small subunit ribosomal RNA", at positions 338 to 948 of the family's 1533-position model. The record is from RNAcentral.
CCUACGGGAGGCAGCAGUGGGGAAUAUUGCACAAUGGGCGAAAGCCUGAUGCAGCGACGCCGCGUGAGGGAUGACGGCCUUCGGGUUGUAAACCUCUUUCAGCAGGGAAGAAGCGAAAGUGACGGUACCUGCAGAAGAAGCGCCGGCUAACUACGUGCCAGCAGCCGCGGUAAUACGUAGGGCGCAAGCGUUGUCCGGAAUUAUUGGGCGUAAAGAGCUCGUAGGCGGCUUGUCACGUCGGUUGUGAAAGCCCGGGGCUUAACCCCGGGUCUGCAGUCGAUACGGGCAGGCUAGAGUGUGGUAGGGGAGAUCGGAAUUCCUGGUGUAGCGGUGAAAUGCGCAGAUAUCAGGAGGAACACCGGUGGCGAAGGCGGAUCUCUGGGCCAUUACUGACGCUGAGGAGCGAAAGCGUGGGGAGCGAACAGGAUUAGAUACCCUGGUAGUCCACGCCGUAAACGGUGGGAACUAGGUGUUGGCGACAUUCCACGUCGUCGGUGCCGCAGCUAACGCAUUAAGUUCCCCGCCUGGGGAGUACGGCCGCAAGGCUAAAACUCAAAGUAUAGUGCGNGNGAGAGCGACGACGACGACGACGGAGGAGAG